UAAGGAAUAUUGGUCAAUGGACGCAAGUCUGAACCAGCCAUGCCGCGUGAAGGAUGAAGGUCCUCUGGAUUGUAAACUUCUUUUAUCUGGGACGAAAACGGGAUUUUUAUCUCAAUUGACGGUACCAGAGGAAUAAGCACCGGCUAACCCCGUGCCAGCAGCCGCGGUAAUACGGAGGGUGCGAGCGUUAUCCGGAUUUACUGGGUUUAAAGGGUGCGUAGGUGGGCUUAUAAGUCAGUGGUGAAAUCUCCGAGCUUAACUUGGAAACUGCCGUUGAUACUAUAUGUCUUGAAUUAUCUGGAGGUAAGCGGAAUAUGUCAUGUAGCGGUGAAAUGCGUAGAUAUGACAUAGAACACCAAUUGCGAAGGCAGCUUACUACAUAUAAAUUGACGCUGAGGCACGAAAGCGUGGGGAUCAAACA
RNAcentral lists this ribosomal RNA (421 nucleotides) under uncultured bacterium. RNAcentral's name for it is "bacterial SSU rRNA". It matches the Rfam family "Bacterial small subunit ribosomal RNA", at positions 355 to 774 of the family's 1533-position model. The record is from RNAcentral.